ACCCAUAUUCAAUGGUGCCCCCUCCACAAAAGGCUUACAGACUCUAAAUUGCAGUACAUUAAGCUCUCACAGGCACUGAGCCUGUAACAGUCCAUACUAAGUUGCUCAGCAUGUCUUGGAUUCUAGAAGCAGCACCCCGCUAGCUCUGCAGAGGUUUAGGAGGAAUCCUUGUUACAUCAUAGAGUCAGAUGCGGGCCCUCUGCCAUAUUGGUUCUACAGGAAUGAGUAGCCUGCCUACCUUGUUCUUAGUCAUUGCUUUAUGCCAUGGGUUUAGGAGAUCACUGCCCUCUUAGGCCCAUCAGCUACCAAAAGAAACUCCUUCCUACCCCUCAACCCCAGGAUCAAAUGAGAAACAGCAGAGGAGGGUUAUACACUGUAAGGAUUGUCCGACCUACCCUCUGCGGGAGGACUGAGCUCGUUUGGAAAAAACCGGACCACAGGUUGAGCUCCAUGGCUCAAGACUGUAAUCCCAGCAGUGUGGGAGGUCCAGGCAGAAAGAUUGCUUGAUGUCAGGAGAUUGAGUCUACAGUGAGCUAUGAUCUCUCCACUGCACUCCAGCCUGAGUCACAGAGACUCAGUCUCAAAGAAAAAAAAAAUAAUUUUCCAGAAGAUCUGUCUUUAUUGGUGUUUAUCUUUUUUUUUCCAUGUGCGCAUUUAUUUAUUUCAAAGAUUGUUUGUGUUCCAGCGACAUCUUCUCCGAAGGAACCCACCCAGCCUGUGCACAGGCGAGGUACAGGGCUGUCUUCGGUGUUUAAAGUGUUACUGAGGAAUACAAUCACUGUCAGGAAAGUUCAUCACUGCACUUCAGCGUCAGGCCAAACCUUUUCACGGACCUGGAAAACCUGCCAUUUUCUUCUUUUUCUUUAAAAUGCAGUUUUGACAUAACAUUGUUAGAGUAAACAACAAACCAGAAGCCUAAAUGAUGAGUGGUGCAUUACUGCCCCGCUCCUAGCUGAGGAAACAGGGCAGCGGACUGUGUUUCGAAUGCAAAUGGUCAUGGGCCCAAGGUAACCUGAGUUUGCCCCGCAGGAUUCUGCA
This 1038-nucleotide long non-coding RNA is filed under the name Callithrix jacchus (white-tufted-ear marmoset). Its description in RNAcentral is "lncRNA (ENSCJAG00000076540.1)". Lineage: Eukaryota; Metazoa; Chordata; Mammalia; Primates; Cebidae. The record is from RNAcentral.